UACAGAGGGUGCGAGCGUUAAUCGGAAUUACUGGGCGUAAAGCGCACGUAGGUGGCGACGUAAGUCGGGUGUGAAAGCCCCGGGCUCAACCUGGGAAUUGCAUUCGAGACUGCAUUGCUGGAGUACGGAAGAGGAAGGCGGAAUUCCCGGUGUAGCGGUGAAAUGCGUAGAUAUCGGGAGGAACAUCGAUGGCGAAGGCAGGUCUCUGGGCCAUAACUGACGCUGAGAAGCGAAAGCAUGGGGAGCGAACAGG
Molecule: ribosomal RNA, 253 nt
Filed under: uncultured bacterium
Lineage: Bacteria
Description: partial 16S ribosomal RNA
Rfam family: Bacterial small subunit ribosomal RNA
Source: RNAcentral